RNAcentral lists this ribosomal RNA (298 nucleotides) under uncultured fungus. RNAcentral's name for it is "partial 18S ribosomal RNA". It matches the Rfam family "Eukaryotic small subunit ribosomal RNA", at positions 28 to 332 of the family's 1831-position model. Lineage: Eukaryota; Fungi. The record is from RNAcentral.
AAUCUUGUCUCAAAGAUUAAGCCAUGCAUGUCUAAGUAUAAGCAAUCUAUACUGUGAAACUGCGAAUGGCUCAUUAAAUCAGUUAUAGUUUAUUUGAUAGUACCUUUACCUGGAUAACCGUGGUAAUUCUAGAGCUAAUACAUGCCAAAAACCCCGACUCCGGAAGGGGUGUAUUUAUUAGAUAAAAAACCAAUGCCCUCCGGGGCUCCUUGGUGAUUCAUGAUAACUUAACGAAUCGCAUGGCCUUGCGCCGGCGAUGGUUCAUUCAAAUUUCUGCCCUAUCAACUUCGAUGUAGAG